UGUCUAGUCUUGCCUGCCUGAACCAUUUCAGGGUUCAGGAAGCAAGGAAAGGUACUGUGAUCAAUAUGAGAGGUUUUACUAAUUUGCUGGUUUUAUUCCCUGAUUUGGUUGAUGAAUCUCUGAUAGAAGAGUAAAGCUCCAAGAGCUUUAAUUCUUUUCUUCUUCCUAAUGGGUUGGACUGAGUUUUGUGACCCCUUACCUUUUAUAGAGAUGAGGGAGUGUGUGGGAGGAAAAUUUGUGUCAAUCAAUGUAUUUAGAGGUGUUCUGCAGCUGUUCUGAAACCAUGCUUCUCUGAUCCCAUUUCCUUGCUCCUUUAAUCCCCUUUUCCUUCUUUAACCCCCUAGCUGUGUGAAUAGUUCCAAUCUCCACCUUGGACCUGCAGAUAGAUUCCAGACUUGUAGGUGAGAUCAAUAGUAAAAUGGCUUUAGUGCAUUUGUGUGUGGGUAUGUGAUAUUGCCUGGCUUCCUUUCCUGAAGAGAAGCCCUUCCUGGUCUGCCCAGCUCCUCAUGCUGCCUUCUUGCUUUGUGGGACCCAUCCCAGUGUGUGGAAGACUGGGGAAUGAUCACGAGGAGGGCCAGCCACCACCAGAAGGUGGAAGCCAUGCUACAGAAGUCAACUGGGAGAAGAGAAGUGCCCCAACAGCACAGUGCAGCGACUCUAAGAAAUCCAUCUGAUGCAACUCCUGCUAUCCCACUCAUCUUCAUAAGGGCUUGUAGAGAUGUUUAGGUAUCAUGUGUCAAUUAAAAUGUGAAAAUGCAUGAGGAAACGAUGAGUAGGUAAUGAGAACUUGGAUAUUUGGUAUCAGUUCACUUCUAAUGAGCAACUAUUCUCUGUUGCUCUUUACAAUAGUUAGCACUGAGUAAGAAUGUGUGCUACUUCAUAAGAGGGCCUGUUGUGUACUCCAGAAUGGUUCAUUUUGUGGCUUUUUUUUCCCUUUUCUUUCAUGUUUUAUUAUAGUUGGGGAGAUAAAGGAAAUUUCUUAGAAAAAUAAAGAAAAAGGCAGACUUUGUUCUUGUAGGAUAAUGACUUCCUUACAUUUAUUAAUCUUUAAACAAAUGUUUUUACAAAGGAGUGGGGUCUUUUGUUUUGGGUUUUUCAGUUGAUUGGUGGUUUGAGUUUUUUCUGUAAUCUUUUCAUCAUAUCACUGCUUCUUGUGGCUGAAUCACCAUCAAAGGACUUCAGGAUUCUUCCUUACUUUAAUAUUGUUUUGUAACUACAUUUUCCUUCUUCAACAUGCAUUUCUGAGAACCCAGAAAAGUUCUUGGGGUAAACACUGUGGGCCAGAACCUUGUGUAGUACACCUGGAGCGAUGGGCAGGGAGAUAAGGAGAUGACUGCAUGUAUGUAUUUGAGUUUAUGCCUGUAGAAAUGAUAAUCACACUUGCCUUUCAACUAGUAGUAAGUUGGCUCAUUCUCAUCUAAUUGUAAUGUGACCAUCCAAAUAAUGCACUUGUUGUGAAUCCCAGAGGAUUUUGUGCAUGAUGGUCUUCCCCCUAUCCCCAUGGCAUUAAUAAUGCAGUAGGGGUAUGUACUUCCUUCUUGAGACUCUUCUUUUUCUGUACAGCAUGCAGCAUUUUUGGUUUGUUUGCUUUCUUGUUUGUCCUUUUUUCCCUGUGGCUUUCCAUUCAUAAUUUGCAAACUGGAAUAACUUUGCUUUAAACCACUGUCAGGACUGAAUUGAUGCACAUGAGCAUUCUUGGUGGCAUUUUUGACCAGGUGCACUCGUAAGAGUCCACAGGAAUGCUGUGGACUCCUUUCAGCUCAUCCCUGGUGUCUCUGAGGAAGAUAAAAACCAGAAACAAAAAGCCAGUCUCUAAUGUGGAUGGUGGGGAUGUCUGAAACCAAUGAAUGCAUUGCAAACUGUGGAUGUUCAUCUCUGUUUAUCUGACUCAUUGCAAGACCUGAUUCCCACAGGAUGGAGUAGAGGCCAGGAGUUUUCUCAGGGCAUGAAAGGAAAUUGGUCCAGUUAAUAGCAAAGAAAUCCAUAAAGGUGGAAUAAAUGCAUAGAAAUAUCUAAGCUGGGAAGUUGCUGAGAUGAAAGUAGAAGGAAAGAGGAAUUGCUGAGGAAAUGCCUCUUCUUUGGGCAUUCAAUAGUGGCUUCAGGUGAAAGGAAGCAUAUUUAGAACAAUGAACUCUUGAUCUGACUAAGUAAAGUACUUAAUGUUUAAAUAGUAGGUCAACCAGUCCAAGUACAGUCUCUACUAUCCAAACAGUGUUGCUCUCUCUUGAGAUUUCUCUUUCAAAACACUGAAUGACCAGCUAGGAUGUCAUAAGCACUGGUGGGAGUAGCUGUGUCUGUUUCUCUUGAAAAUAAUGCAGAACAAUGAGUCCUGCCUCCUAUUUCUUCCCCAAAUCAGGUCAUAAUCUUAAAAGUGCUGCUCCUGUUCCAUGCAGGGCUGCACUCAGGAGGGAGAAGGGGAGGUAGCAGCCAGUGGAUUGCCUUUACAUAGAGGUGCUCCCAGGAUGCUCAGUACAACAAUUCAUGUAGAGAUAGAAGCAGCAUCAAAUGCCAUCAGGCAAUGCCAAAGCAAUACUAAGAAUUAUUCAUAUUUAGAUUAAUCAGUGACGGAUUUCAUUGCUAAGUUGCCAUUUGGCUUUAGUUAACAGAGGAAUAAUAUGAGGCCAAAAGAGAAAACCACAGCUGAAAAGGUUUCUUUUAUUAAAGAAGCUCUGGAUAGACUGAGACAAGUUGCUUUAAAUGCAUCAUUCCAAGAAAUAGAACAGUGUUAACUUUUACAUUUUAAGUGUCUAAUAAUUGUAUGCUUUAGUGAAUUGAAUAGAACACAAGUGUAAACAGUACUUGGGUCACCCAAUUAUCAGAUUUUUUUGUUUUUGUUGGUUUUUUUUUUCCAUUAAAUGUAAAAACUUCAGGAUAUAGGUAGCCAACUGCUAUAGGUAAGGAGUAAAAUAAUCUUUAAUGUAAAAUACAUAUUUGUGUGCCUAAAGGGGAAAAUGCUCUUUUUCAAGGACUCUUAUAAGCAGAAGAGAAUGUGUUUAAUUCAAUAGGUUGUUCAAACUCUCACCCUGAGAUGACCAAUUCCUAAACAUCUUUGGAAACUCAAGUGGCUUGAAUAGAUUAGUUGUUCUUGCACCUUUUACCUCAAAAUUCUUUUGAGAAAAUCUGAGCUGCUAUAGAAGCCCUCAAGAAGCCAAUGGAAUCACUGAAUAAAAAUGGAAAUGGGACUUCUGGGCUUAGCACAAUAGAAAUAAACAUAAUGUGAACUUCUGUAUCUCUCUUGAGUUCUUAACUUUACUGGAAUGAAAAACUGAGGUGUUCUGGCACAGGCUGCAGUAUGUGUACCUAUGGGGAAAUGGAAAAGAGAGAAGAAAUUGUGAAAGAGAACUGGAAAGUAUGAAAAAUACAACAGUAUGAAAGUGUCUAUAAAUUUUCUUGAUGUCUGAAUAAAAAGUGAGAAGAAGAUACCUCUUGUGUAAGGGGAGACUUCUCUACAUAACUGGUUAAACUUUUUCCUGCUUGAUAACUUAUUGCAGUAAAGCACAAGAGGCUUUGAAAGAAAAGGAUGUAUGUGCAGGGGAAUUUAUAGCCUUCCACAAAACAGAUGAAAGUAGUAUUGCAUUCCUAUUUUUCUCUGCACUUCAGUUUAAGAAUGUCCCUUAAACCACAGCUGAUGAAGUCCAAUCCCUUUCAUUUUCAUCUGGGAAGAAAGUUAAACAACGGGUCUCAAAUUAGAGGGGUUAUGUAUAUGCCAGGAUGGUGUACUUGGUAUCUUGCUAAAAAAUAACUAAUUUGUUGUUUUAGUUUUGCAAUUAGAGUAUAACUUUAUUUAAAAAUGCAUCUCUAAGUAUUCAUUUGGCUGGAAGGUGGAUGGGGUGGAGAGAGAUGUAGUCCUCUGAGUGCUAUUUUCCAUAAUAAUUUAUACAGUUCCAAAGACUUUUUGGAAUUUUUACAGGAAUGAAGUUAAGCACAGAUUUCUUGACAGGUUUCCAUUGUUGUGCUGUUGUGAUUUCUUAAAUAGUUUGAGCUUGUUAAUCAGAAAUGGAGAUGUGAAUAUAAAGAUGUGGGUGUUAAGGAGAUCUUUAUUUGACUUUAAGACCAUGAAAUUGUUAGUAAUUCUGCUUUUCAUAUAUUUGUUUGCAUGCUGUGCUGUUUUGUCUCAAAACUGAAUUCCAUCAGAUCAGAAAGCACAUUUCCUUGGUUUGCAGGAUUUGUCUUUCAUUAGUUUUGGUAUGUCUUAGUAUUUAUGAAGAUGACAAUGCCAGUAGGAACAUUAGAUUACAAAGGUAAUUCUGAAAAGGUCAGCAGGUCUGACAUGCAAUUUGUCUUGUUCCAUUAGGCUUUAUAUUGAUGUCCUGUCUGUCUAACCAGUAUGGUAAUCACUCCAAAUAUAAAUGAUGUGUGGGCAAUUAUUUUAUGGUUUUGUUUGAAAAACAGUCUGAACAGCUCCAGUGACAAAGAUAAUAAAUGUUUAAGCUACAGUGU
Passer domesticus (house sparrow) is the source of this 4440-nucleotide long non-coding RNA. RefSeq lists it as uncharacterized. The record is from RefSeq and is a predicted model, not a curated record. NCBI's taxonomy places the organism in Eukaryota, Metazoa, Chordata, Aves, Passeriformes, Passeridae. The transcript is spliced from 3 exons.